ACGCUCGACACCUACUGGAGGCAGCAGUGGGGAAUAUUGGGCAAUGGGCGCAAGCCUGACCCAGCAACGCCGCGUGAAGGAAGAAGGCUUUCGGGUUGUAAACUUCUUUUGUCAGGGACGAAGACGUGACGGUACCUGACGAAUAAGCUCCGGCUAACUACGUGCCANNCGCGAGUAUNGNGGCGNGNGAGAG
This 193-nucleotide ribosomal RNA is filed under the name uncultured bacterium. Its description in RNAcentral is "partial 16S ribosomal RNA". It matches the Rfam family "Bacterial small subunit ribosomal RNA", at positions 328 to 538 of the family's 1533-position model. The record is from RNAcentral.